UGUGUAUCAGAACAAAUUCAAAUGGCACACUGACAGCAGUCUGCUCUUUAAAUAUCUAGGUAUAUUGCUAGACCCCAAUCUAUCCUUUGGCCUUCACUUUAAAAAAAAUCUCUUCAAAACGUUACCCAAAACUAGGUACCCUGUACAGAAACAAAUCCUGACUAAGCCCUACAGUAAGGAAAUAGAUAGUGCAACAAAUGCUAAUGCCGGU
Pelobates cultripes (western spadefoot toad) is the source of this 211-nucleotide non-coding RNA. The record is from the annotation of a GenBank genome assembly. Lineage: Eukaryota; Metazoa; Chordata; Amphibia; Anura; Pelobatidae.